Molecule: transfer RNA, 77 nt
Filed under: Pseudomonadota bacterium
Lineage: Bacteria; Pseudomonadati; Pseudomonadota
Also listed under: 3 other names
Description: Proteobacteria bacterium (cold seep metagenome) tRNA-Arg
Rfam family: tRNA
About the family: Transfer RNA (tRNA) molecules are approximately 80 nucleotides in length.
Source: RNAcentral
GCGCCCAUAGCUCAGCUGGAUAGAGUAACGGACUACGAAUCCGUAGGUCGCAGGUUCGAAUCCUGCUGGGCGCACCA